CUGUUGCACAAAAGUAGAAUUAAGACAUCCGGGAUAAAUGACUCAGCUGAGCUCAAUGAAGCCAAAACAUGUGCGUCCAGGCUUAAUUGGUUGCACAAAGACCAAGCCAGGAUGAGCAGACACGGAUUCAUUAAGCCAGGUGAAACCAAUCCUGGAUAGGUGCGCGCUCACGGCUCACUCAAAUAGACCCCGCCACAGAUCACAGAUUAACUGAUUUACCAUGGCAACUAGAGCCGCGUACUUUUCCCCGUCGGAAGCACAAAUCCUCAUGGAGGCAUACGAGGAGGUAAAAUAUAUAAUUAAGAAGAAAGGCAACACCGCCACAGUGAUAAAGCAAAGAGAAAAAGCGUGGCAAAGUAUUGCAGACCGCCUGAAUGCAUUAAACAUGAACGGGCCAAAGCGGACAUGGCAGCAGGUCAAAAUCAAAUACAAGAACAUUCUGCAGAAUGGUAUGGUCCCUGACUAAUAUUUAACAAAGCACAAGCAUAUAUUGUACCCAGAAGGUGCCUGCUCACACAUUGUCUGUACUGUUUUAGCAGUGAA
Molecule: long non-coding RNA, 543 nt
Organism: Salvelinus fontinalis (brook trout)
Lineage: Eukaryota; Metazoa; Chordata; Actinopteri; Salmoniformes; Salmonidae
Exons: 2
Source: RefSeq, a predicted model, not a curated record